UACGUAGGGACCGAGCGUUGUCCGGAAUCAUUGGGCGUAAAGAGCGUGUAGGCGGCCAACUAAGUCCUGCGUGAAAUCUCGGGGCUCAACCCCGAGCGGUCGUGGGAAACUGGUUGGCUAGAGUGCGGGAGAGGAGAGUGGAAUUCCUGGUGUAGCGGUGGAAUGCGCAGAUAUCAGGAGGAACACCAACGGCGAAGGCAGCUCGCUGGGACGGUACUGACGCUAAGGCGCGAAAGCGUGGGGAGCGAACAGG
Molecule: ribosomal RNA, 253 nt
Filed under: uncultured bacterium
Lineage: Bacteria
Description: partial 16S ribosomal RNA
Rfam family: Bacterial small subunit ribosomal RNA
Source: RNAcentral